RNAcentral lists this transfer RNA (52 nucleotides) under Mastigoproctus giganteus (giant whipscorpion). Its description in RNAcentral is "tRNA-Glu". Lineage: Eukaryota; Metazoa; Arthropoda; Arachnida; Uropygi; Thelyphonidae. The record is from RNAcentral.
GCGGUUUUAGUGAAAUUCACAUAAUCUUUUCGUGGUUAAAAUAAAAAUCGUU